Molecule: ribosomal RNA, 253 nt
Filed under: uncultured bacterium
Lineage: Bacteria
Description: partial 16S ribosomal RNA
Rfam family: Bacterial small subunit ribosomal RNA
Source: RNAcentral
UACGUAGGGGGCUAGCGUUGUCCGGAAUCAUUGGGCGUAAAGCGCGUGUAGGCGGUCCGGUAAGUCCGCUGUGAAAGUCGGGGGCUCAACCCUCGAAUGCCGGUGGAUACUGUCGGGCUAGAGUGCGGAAGAGGCGAGUGGAAUUCCUGGUGUAGCGGUGAAAUGCGCAGAUAUCAGGAGGAACACCGGUGGCGAAGGCGGUUCUCUGGGCAUUACCUGACGCUGAGGAGCGAAAGCGUGGGGAGCAAACAGG